This 671-nucleotide long non-coding RNA is filed under the name Androctonus crassicauda. Lineage: Eukaryota; Metazoa; Arthropoda; Arachnida; Scorpiones; Buthidae. The record is from RNAcentral.
CAAAAAGGUUCCAGAUAAUUAAUUAACAGAAUAAUAAAUCUGAUCAUUGCAAUAAUAUGGAAUUUAUACAGAAAGUGAUUAGAGAUGGGGAAGCUUGUUUUGCAUAUUUUUAUAACCCUUUCCAAUCAGGGAGACUACUAAGGAGCAGGGUAAGUUCUAACUAUCCGCUGCACCCAAACUAGUGAAAAGUGGCCGGAUAGUGAAGAACGGAGAUCACUAGACCGGAGUCAACAGGGUCAAAAUAUCUUUUCCGGAGUUAUCAGACCUGGACCCGAACUCGGAUCCUUCUGCGUGGCACGCCAACAACGUUAUCAUUCGGUCAUCCUGCCGAUGGAGAAACUAUAUUACUAAUUUAUGGAAACAGUUAAAAAAACAUUUUUUCCGAUGAUUCGUGUGGUUUAUGUCGUCAAAUAUAUCCUCCCUUCAUAUGUUGGGUUACCUGGCGUCCUUUUGACUAAUUUUUAUUUACUCAAAAGCAUGCCGAUAAAAGUAUCCACCAUCCAAUUUCAAUCUUCGAUUCUCGGAUUAAACAAACGAUUUCCAAAUGAUUCCGCAGGCUAGUUUGAAUCUGCACGUGAAGAUUGCGCUUAUAGUGAGAAAUUUUAAAGAAAACAAAAGAUUUAGAAACAUUUUCAAAAAUUAAAACGCUUAUUUAUUUCAUUUAUUUUGGC